RNAcentral lists this long non-coding RNA (1230 nucleotides) under Vitis vinifera (wine grape). RNAcentral describes it as "long non-coding RNA (VVIN_LNC001836)". Lineage: Eukaryota; Viridiplantae; Streptophyta; Magnoliopsida; Vitales; Vitaceae. The record is from RNAcentral.
CGGAUUGGGUCGCAACAACAGAUUCACCAUUAGGAAGGCCAACCGGACACUCAAACAACGCUAUAGUAUCAAAUAACCAAGAUAAAUCACCGGUCACGUGAUGAGUUGCCCCGGUGUCAAUGAUCCAUGACUUCGUGUCAAACUUACCAUUCAACCUGUCAUCCGGAACUUGAGCAUUACCAAUUAAGCCCGCAAGAGCUUUCCAUUGUUCGGGUGUGAAGAGUUGAUCGGUAGAACUUUUAGUAGAGGAUGCUCCAAUUGUGCUACUUGCCGCGUUAGCACGAGCUGAACCACGCCCACGACCAGCCUGCUGACGACUACGUCCAGCACCCCCAUCAGCCUUGUUUUGAUCCAACCACCCCUCAGGAUAACCCACUAUUUCAUAACAAUUAUUUUUGUCAUGGCCAUGCUUGUGACAGUGAGGACAAGCAACGAGGGACCAGCAAGUUGAAGUCUCAUGCCCCGUCUUCUUGCAGUGGCUACACACAGGCCUCUCCGUUUUUCCUCGUCCUCUUCCAGCACCUGUACGGACAGCAAAGCCAAGGACCUCUGCUGGCUUGUCUUUUGUGACUGCCUUGGCGAGCCGCACACGCUCAUCUUGUAUCACCAGUUGGUACGCUCGAUCAAGCGAAGGCAAGGGAUCUUGAGAAAGGAUAUUGGUUCGUAAUUGAGCGUACAGAUCAGUGUUGAGUCCCAUCAAGAAGUCAUGUAAUUUUUCUUGUUCACAUCUUGCUUGGUGCAAUGAUGCGGCAGUACAAGACGAACAACAAGUGCAAGAAAUUAGCGGUUCAUGCUUAAAUAAUUCCUCCCAUAAUACAUUCAAUUUGCCAUAGUAAGUUGUAACAGACAUAGAUUUCGAUUGCUCACACUUAGCAAUUGAAGUCUUUAACUGUUGAAUUCUUGGGCCAUUAACCAUAGCAUAUCGUUGCUUAAGAUGCUCUCAUAAGCGUUUUGCAUCACGAAAUUUAGAUAGGGUACUCUUUACCUCGGGAUCGAUUGUGUUUGUAAUCCAAGAAACCAACAUUGCAUUGACGGUGUUCCAAUCAGAUUGGGUAUAUGGAGGUUGUGGUCCGGUGAUAGUGCCUUCCAAAAAUUCGAACUUGCGGCGUGCCUCCAAUGCCAACUGAAUAUCGGAAGCCCAAUCAUCGUAAUUGUCGCCGCGUAAGCGAGUGGAAGUGAUGAAGUCGCCUGGUCGGUCUCCUGUGCCGAGAAAAAAAGGUGAAUUCAUCU